This 253-nucleotide ribosomal RNA is filed under the name uncultured bacterium. RNAcentral's name for it is "partial 16S ribosomal RNA". It matches the Rfam family "Bacterial small subunit ribosomal RNA", at positions 524 to 776 of the family's 1533-position model. The record is from RNAcentral.
UACGUAGGGUGCAAGCGUUAAUCGGAAUUACUGGGCGUAAAGCGUGCGUAGGCGGUUUUGUAAGUCAGAGGUGAAAUCCCCGGGCUCAACCUGGGAACUGCCUUUGUGACUGCAAGGCUUGAGUGCGGCAGAGGGGGAUGGAAUUCCGCGUGUAGCAGUGAAAUGCGUAGAUAUGCGGAGGAACACCGAUGGCGAAGGCAAUCCCCUGGGCCUGCACUGACGCUCAUGCACGAAAGCGUGGGGAGCAAACAGG